UACAGAGGUGGCAAGCGUUGUUCGGAAUUACUGGGCGUAAAGGGCGCGUAGGUGGCCUUCUUAGUCAGACGUGAAAUCCCCAGGCUUAACCUGGGAACUGCGUCUGAUACUGGAAGGCUCGAGUUCGGGAGAGGGAUGUGGAAUUCCAGGUGUAGCGGUGAAAUGCGUAGAUAUCUGGAGGAACACCGGUGGCGAAGGCGGCAUUCUGGACCGAAACUGACGCUGAGGCGCGAAAGCCAGGGGAGCAAACGGG
This 253-nucleotide ribosomal RNA is filed under the name uncultured bacterium. RNAcentral describes it as "partial 16S ribosomal RNA". It matches the Rfam family "Bacterial small subunit ribosomal RNA", at positions 524 to 776 of the family's 1533-position model. The record is from RNAcentral.